AUUCAGAAGAGGAGUCCAAAAUAGGACGAAAUGUGCAUCCUGGAU
This 45-nucleotide non-coding RNA is filed under the name Trichobilharzia regenti. The record is from RNAcentral. Lineage: Eukaryota; Metazoa; Platyhelminthes; Trematoda; Strigeidida; Schistosomatidae.